Long non-coding RNA from Carassius carassius (crucian carp), 496 nucleotides. RefSeq lists it as uncharacterized. The record is from RefSeq and is a predicted model, not a curated record. The transcript is spliced from 3 exons. Lineage: Eukaryota; Metazoa; Chordata; Actinopteri; Cypriniformes; Cyprinidae.
UGCAGUAGAAGGCAAAAGAUGUGUGGCGUAGAUGAAAAUGCAACUUCCUGUUAAGAAAGGGCCUUAACGAAAAGCUGAAGAGGAGAGUGUCUCUGACACUGCUCUGCUGUCUCUAGACCCCUAAAAACAGCUUAAGGAUUUUUUUGAAGGUGAAAACUCUCCGGCAACUGAACCGACUGAUUAGACGCAUGAGAACACGACAUAUGGUGUCUUAGAAGCGGCUUUUGAACUCUUGGAUAUGGCAAGAUUUUUUGCGCUAGGACCCUUGGUUUUGGUCCUAUGCUUGGUCUUAUACCCUUCAACCUCACACACUGAAGAAGGCAAGAAACCAGAAGCAGGUAAUAGUUUUGAAGCAGUUUGUGAAGGAUAGGAUAGUGAUAAGGAUGUAUGAGAUGAUGAAAAGGAGAAAUCUUUUAGUCAAAAACAUGUUACAAGUUCUUAGAUUUAAAUGUUUAAAUUAUGUUGAUGCUUCCAGUCAGUUGUGCAUGACUAUUGG